GGGGGGGGGGGGGGGGGGGGGGGGGGGGGGGGGGGGGGGGGGGGGGGGGGUGCGGGGGGGGGGGGCUCGCGUGGGGGGGGGGGGGGUGGCGCGGGGGUGCCGUGGCCUUGACUUGGGGAUAACUUCAGGAAACGGGGGCUAGUACCGGAUAGGCGCUCCUGCUGCCGGGGGGGGGUUGGAAAGUGUCGGCGGUUGGGGAUGGAUUCGCGGCUUAUCAGCUUGUUGGUGGGGUAGUGGCGUACCAAGGCUCUGACGGGUAGCCGGCCUGGGAGGGUGGCCGGCCACAUUGGGACUGAGAUACGGCCCAGACUCCUACGGGAGGCAGCAGUGGGGAAUAUUGCACAAUGGGCGGAAGCCUGAUGCAGCAACGCCGCGUGCGGGAUGACGGCCUUCGGGUUGUAAACCGCUUUCGCCUGUGACGAAGCGUGAGUGACGGUAAUGGGUAAAGAAGCACCGGCUAACUACGUG
This 468-nucleotide ribosomal RNA is filed under the name uncultured bacterium. RNAcentral's name for it is "partial 16S ribosomal RNA". The stretch from base 58 to 468 matches the Rfam family "Bacterial small subunit ribosomal RNA", at positions 39 to 507 of the family's 1533-position model. The record is from RNAcentral.